GACGAACGCUGGCGGCGUGCUUAACACAUGCCAGUCGAACGGAAAGGCCCUGCUUUUGUGGGGUGCUCGAGUGGCGAACGGGUGAGUAACACGUGAGUAACCUGCCCUUGACUUUGGGGUAACUUCAGGCAACUGGGGCUAAUACCGGAUAGGAGCUCCUGCUGCAUGGUGGGGGUUGGAAAGUUUCGGCGGUUGGGGAUGGACUGGCGGGUGAUCAGCUUGGUGGUGGGGUAGUGGAUUACCAAGGCUUGGACGGUUAGCCGGCCGGAGAGGGUGACCGGCCACAUUGGGACUGAGAUACGGCCCAGACUCAUACGGGAGGGAGGAGGGGGGAAGAUUGAACAAUGGGCGGAAGCCAGACGCAGCAACGCCGGGUGCGGGAUGACGGCAUGCGGGUGGGAAGCCGCUUUCGCCUGUGACGAAGCGUGAGUGACGGUAAUGGGGAAAGAAGUACGGCCAACCUACUG
This 467-nucleotide ribosomal RNA is filed under the name uncultured bacterium. Its description in RNAcentral is "partial 16S ribosomal RNA". It matches the Rfam family "Bacterial small subunit ribosomal RNA", at positions 28 to 507 of the family's 1533-position model. The record is from RNAcentral.